CAACAAUCAACAACCUCCUUCCUCAAACUAUGCUUCCGAGUUCUCUCCUCGACUUGUUCCUGACCAACAAUAGCUUCGAAUCUUCUGUUGCGGGACCAAACACGAAAUGCACCUCCUUGGACGUUAUCGAAUACCUCUCCAACGCACGCGAUACGAAGCUUUUCUCGCUCCCAAGCACCUGCAAACAAAGCACUAUGCCCUUCCGAUAGUUCUCUGAUCUAGACUUUCCGCAAGGAACAGUUGAGUUCAGAACUUAACCCUAAGUAUUUGUUGGUUCUAGCUUUGCGGUCAUAGUUGUUCUUCCAAUUGAUUAUAUUCUCAUCUGCUGAGUGAUGAUCUAUGCCGAAAGGUUGAAAUCUGAUCAAGGCUGGGAAUGGAAAGGUCGGAGGGAUAGUCCAGAUGUCGAAAGACGAUAAAACAGAUUUCUACUAUGAGCCGUUCUGGUAAAAGCCUCUUGUGAGGAUGCUCGUCAGGGAUUUCGGCUGGGCGUUAUACUCUGGUCAUUCACGGAUCGUCUCAAUUGGGUCAACGCAGAUGAUGGAAAGGAGAUGCAACGUGGGACAGAUACAGGCUCUUCCUCGAGAAGCUGUCUUUUGGAUCUUCAAUAUGCUGGGUCGACUUGGUCAACACGAGCUCUAUCAACUCUAUUGAUGAGGUGGCUAGGACUCUUCUGGAACAUGGAUGCCGAGUGUAAUGCUUGGGGGCUUGAGCACAAUAUUCUACGGAUCGUCUACAAACAGACUAUCUCUUGCAAGCGUUUUCCCUUCCUUCUGGUCGGGAUUUGGCAGUGAUCUCACUCGUCGGAACCAUUUGCAUAUUGCAUUUGUAGCGAGAUUUCACUAGCUUUCAAACAAAAACGCAGUGCUUUGAUGGUCCUUCUCUGUGCCUAGGCACUUUGAAAAUGAGACAUAUUGCCAUGCUCCGGAAGUCUUUUAUGUCCAGUUCGAGUACCCUUUUCGUCGAGUCUGUGGAGAUGGGCCAGUGCAAUUUGAUUCGGUGAAGACGUCCCGUACCUAUCCUCAUCCUGUCGGCUACUUUCAAAGUGCCAUGAAGGACGUUGUAUCCACCCUUUCCAUUUUCCAGAAACUCGCUUUUCACGCGCAGUCAGCUCAAAGACCGUUGCCACGGCUUCAGCCAAAGGCUCUGUCACAUCAGUGUGGUCCCGAUCAGCCGCAUCAACUUUCUCCUUCAGGCUCGGUCCUGCAGUGAUGGAAGACGCCGACACACAGUCAUUCACCCCCGUGGUGUUUGUACCCCCUUUCCUCUCCAUCGUUUCUUCGGAAAUGAGUGGGAAGAUGCAAGCGGUUUUUGUUGAUGUAUUUUGUCCGUUUCUCGCCCUGCUCCGAAUGGUGCAGAGGAAACAUAAAACUAAUCUCAGAGGGCAAUGCUAUUCAAACAGAGAGAAGCUUUGCUAUCGCGUUGAGGUAUUUGGUCGUCCUUGGUGGUCUAUUUCGCGUCCGGUUUCCUGUCGAUUUUCGAACAACUAUUGCGGGGUCGAAGGUUCAAGUCAUUAAGGGGAGAAAAGGUUGCGGCUCUGGGUGAUAGGUAAUGUGGGAUGCGAAAGACUAAGGAUAUGGUUGGAUUGUCCAUGUAGAUUCAUACUGCAGACGCGGACUCGAGUAUCGACGUGGAAGAGGGGAGGAACUUGCUCGACGUCCAGAACGGGACCCAUCUCGUGUUGGAGUCAAAGCUUAGUGCUUGUCUGUUCUGGGUUGCGUUGGGCGAGUUGCCGAACUUUGGAAAUGCUGUGCCUGACUUCUGAGUUGCUGUAUUGGAUUGUGGACCUUCUCGGGUUGGCCUCUCGGAGCUUCCAAAAUUUAUGGUUAUGGUUAUAGUGGACAGGCCUAAUGGAAGGCAGUCCAGGGCUGUCUCUUGUCUUUUUUGCAGCAUGAGGCAGCCCCUCCAGGUUUUGGGG
This 1915-nucleotide telomerase RNA is filed under the name Phialocephala subalpina. Its description in RNAcentral is "Ascomycota telomerase RNA". It matches the Rfam family "Ascomycota telomerase RNA". The record is from Rfam by way of RNAcentral. Lineage: Eukaryota; Fungi; Ascomycota; Leotiomycetes; Helotiales; Mollisiaceae.